CGGUGGCGAUGCGCUUAGGGGAAACACCCGUUCCCAUCCCGAACACGAUGGUUAAGACCUAAGCGGCCGAUGGUACUAUGCUGGAGACGGCAUGGGAGAGCAGGUGGCUGCCGGAUU
Molecule: ribosomal RNA, 117 nt
Filed under: [Clostridium] citroniae WAL-17108
Lineage: Bacteria; Bacillati; Bacillota; Clostridia; Lachnospirales; Lachnospiraceae
Also listed under: 2 other names
Source: RNAcentral